CAGGAUUCACCUCAUUACUCCAUUUUUUGGAACUGUUUCUCCCUGCAUCAGGCAUGGUCCUGCGUCGCGUAGUUGUGGAGUUAUAGGUUUCGAGAUUCUUGGGGUCUUUAUCUUACCUUACGCAUAGUGUCAUUGGAGAGCAUUUUUGAGUGUAGUCGAUGGUUAUCGACGAUACUGCUUGUCCAGGUAUAUAGGGUUUAGUGACUUAGAAUCUAGAGCGAAGAAUACAAGUUCUGGUGGGAAGGAAUCCAUGUCGAAUUCCUCUCCCUGAAUAUUCUUUUAUAUACAUUGUUUUGGUUCGCAUUGUAAGGCGGACGAUGAUGAGGUUACUUAAGGUCUCGUUCGCCUGAGUAUGAUGUGCUGAGAAUCUUAACUCUGAUGUCCUCACUGGUGGUCACGUCAACAUUCAUGUGCCUUGUGGAGAUUUGACGCGGAGAAAGGCCAUGUGCUUUAAAGUCUCGCUCCGUCCAAUGGAUCACAAGCUAUGUUGGUCGUCAUUAUCAGAACGUCGUGCAUUUUUUCAUUGACUGAGUGCUGUAUCAAGUCCUCUGGUCCUAAUCCACAUGUCAUGUGAGGGGCGUCGAUGCAGUCGAGCUAUCCGGGAGAAUUUAAAGAGCAUUCCCGAUUGCUUUCACAAGCUAUAUAUUUGUAACUGUAACUUAUGUUGGUGAAAUUGAUAUUUUAUCCCGAAGUAUCCCCAGUCUUCUCUUGAAGCUGAACUCUUCGUCGUCUUCAUUUGACCACAAUUUUGUUUCUUUCAUACUAUGAUUAAUUGUGUAGUAAAAGUUGGCACAAUGGUUUAGCUUAGAUUCUGUAUAGCUCGUUUAGUUACAAGAUUAUUGCUGUUUAGCUUUAACAUUUUUCAAUGUGUAGGACUGAGCAAUGGCCCUACAUAUGCAGUUCUUCAUGUAAAACUUUCUCCUGGGAAAGGAUAGGGCUAGUGGUGUAUCAGACAAUAGACCUUGUCUUGAAAGUUGUAUUCUUCCGUUGAUGUGGCGGAGUUGGUCUUUGGCACCAAUCUCAGGUACUGGGCCGAAAGGGCGUGGGUUUGAAUCCCACUGUCGACAUGUAACUUGGGUGUCAGUUGCCCAUGUGAUCAC
This is a non-coding RNA of Physcomitrium patens, 1100 nucleotides long. The record is from RefSeq and is a predicted model, not a curated record. NCBI's taxonomy places the organism in Eukaryota, Viridiplantae, Streptophyta, Bryopsida, Funariales, Funariaceae.